ACGGAGGGUGCAAGCGUUAUUCGGAUUUAUUGGGCGUAAAGGGCGCGUAGGCGGCUUUUUAAGUCAGAUGUGAAAUCCCGGGGCUUAACCUCGGUAGUGCAUUUGAAACUGGGAAGCUUGAGUAUGGGUGAGGGAAAUGGAAUUCCUGGUGUAGCGGUGAAAUGCGUAGAUAUCAGGAGGAACACCGGUGGCGAAAGCGGUUUCCCGGACCAAUACUGACGCUGAUGCGCGAAGGCGCGGGGAUCAAACAG
Molecule: ribosomal RNA, 251 nt
Filed under: uncultured prokaryote
Description: partial 16S rRNA
Rfam family: Bacterial small subunit ribosomal RNA
Source: RNAcentral